Long non-coding RNA from Pyrgilauda ruficollis (rufous-necked snowfinch), 207 nucleotides. RefSeq lists it as uncharacterized. NCBI's taxonomy places the organism in Eukaryota, Metazoa, Chordata, Aves, Passeriformes, Passeridae. The transcript is spliced from 3 exons. The record is from RefSeq and is a predicted model, not a curated record.
ACCUGUUCCACCGCGUUAUUGAGUCCAGGUUGCGAAAGAUUUUGGAGAACAAGGUGUGUGACAAUGUGGCCAAGUCUGUGAAAAACGAGCUCCAGACGUACAUCCAGACGCUGCCAGUCACAGCCAGGAUAGAUGACAAGAUUGGGAUCGAUUACUCCUUAGUAGCACCCCCAAGAGCUACUGCCCGGUCCAUGGAUGCGGACCUGA